UUUAAAGAGAGUUUGAUCCUGGCUCAGGACGAACGCUGGCGGCGUGCCUAAUACAUGCAAGUCGAACGAACGGAGGAAGAGCUUGCUCUUCCAAAGUUAGUGGCGGACGGGUGAGUAACACGUGGGCAACCUGCCUGUAAGUUGGGGAUAACUCCGGGAAACCGGGGCUAAUACCGAAUGAUAAAGUGUGGCGCAUGCCACGCUUUUGAAAGAUGGUUUCGGCUAUCGCUUACAGAUGGGCCCGCGGUGCAUUAGCUAGUUGGUAGGGUAAUGGCCUACCAAGGCAACGAUGCAUAGCCGACCUGAGAGGGUGAUCGGCCACACUGGGACUGAGAC
RNAcentral lists this ribosomal RNA (336 nucleotides) under Listeria monocytogenes. RNAcentral's name for it is "bacterial SSU rRNA". It matches the Rfam family "Bacterial small subunit ribosomal RNA", at positions 1 to 325 of the family's 1533-position model. The record is from RNAcentral. Lineage: Bacteria; Bacillati; Bacillota; Bacilli; Caryophanales; Listeriaceae.